This 763-nucleotide ribosomal RNA is filed under the name uncultured bacterium. RNAcentral's name for it is "bacterial SSU rRNA". It matches the Rfam family "Bacterial small subunit ribosomal RNA", at positions 8 to 796 of the family's 1533-position model. The record is from RNAcentral.
AGAGUUUGAUCCUGGCUCAGGACGAACGCUGGCGGCGUGCUUAACACAUGCAAGUCAGGGGGCGGGGCUUCGGCCCCGUCACCGGCGAACGGGUGCGGAACACGUGAGCGACCUGCCCUGGAGUGGGGGAUAGCCGGCCCAACGGCCGGGUAAUACCGCAUACGACGCCGGCUUCGAGGCCGGACGUGAAACCCGCAAGGGACUCGAGGAGGGGCUCGCGGCCUAUCAGCUAGUUGGGGGGGUAACGGCCUCCCAAGGCGAUGACGGGUAGCUGGUCUGAGAGGAUGGCCAGCCACAUUGGGACUGAGACACGGCCCAGACUCCUGCGGGAGGCAGCAGUUAGGAAUUUUGGGCAAUGGGCGCAAGCCUGACCCAGCAACGCCGCGUGGGCGAUGAAGCCCUUCGGGGUGUAAAGCCCUUUUCGGUGGGACGAAUCUGACGGUACCACCGGAAGAAGCCCCGGCUAACUACGUGCCAGCAGCCGCGGUAAUACGUAGGGGGCAAGCGUUGUCCGGAUUCAUUGGGCGUAAAGCGCGCGCAGGCGGCUUGGAGAGCCCGGCGUGAAAGCCCCCGGCUCAACCGGGGGAGGCCGUCGGGGACCUUCAGGCUGGAGGCCGGUAGGGGAGAGCGGAAUUCCCGGUGUAGUGGUGGAAUGCGUAGAGAUCGGGAGGAACACCAGUGGCGAAGGCGGCUCUCUGGACCGGUCCUGACGCUCAGGCGCGAAAGCGUGGGGAGCGAUCCGGAUUAGAUACCCCCGUAGUCC